AUACGUAGGGGGCGAGCGUUGUCCGGAAUCACUGGGCGUAAAGGGCGCGUAGGCGGUUUGUUAAGUCAGGUGUGAAAGUUUUCGGCUCAACCGGAAAAGUGCACUUGAAACUAACUAACUUGAGUACUGGAGAGGUAAGCGGAAUUCCUAGUGUAGCGGUGAAAUGCGUAGAUAUUAGGAAGAACACCGGUGGCGAAGGCGGCUUACUGGACAGAGACUGACGCUGAGGCGCGAAAGCGUGGGGAGCGAACAGGAUUAGAUACCCUGGUAGUCCACGCCGUAAACGAUGAGUAUUAGGUGUUGGCGAGAGUCAGUGCCGGAGUUAACACAAUAAAUACUCCGCCUGGGGAGUACGGUCGCAAGACUGAA
This 369-nucleotide ribosomal RNA is filed under the name uncultured bacterium. RNAcentral's name for it is "bacterial SSU rRNA". It matches the Rfam family "Bacterial small subunit ribosomal RNA", at positions 523 to 898 of the family's 1533-position model. The record is from RNAcentral.